Molecule: long non-coding RNA, 2767 nt
Organism: Vidua chalybeata
Lineage: Eukaryota; Metazoa; Chordata; Aves; Passeriformes; Viduidae
Exons: 4
Source: RefSeq, a predicted model, not a curated record
UACAUUUUAAUGCGUCUAUUUGUGAUGUUCGGAAAUUGGAGUGAUGUUUCAGUGUGUGAUGUGCUGCGGGGCAGGUACUCCGCGACCCCCGGUAAAGCCAUGGCAAGGAUGAGAAUCUCUUGAUCUCUGAGGUUGCCUUGGCAUCCCAGAGCCUCUCCCCGUGCAGAUUAUGAGGGGAAUAUUUUCUAAAUCCGUUGUUUACUGAUCUUUUUUGUGUUUAAAUGAUGCAUUUUGCUCAGUUUGUGUUGUCUAAGCUUUAGGUGGCAUUUCCUGUGGGGCUGGUGGAGUGCUGAAGGUUGCUGUUGAUGCUGGGAGAGGCAAUUGCCCUGCAAAGCUUUCCUAUAAAACAUAACUAUAUGAAAUAAUGGAGUUUCUACGAUAAGAACAGGAUGUAGGCUCUCAGUUGAGAACUGGGCAGUAACUUCAUCAACUAGAGCUGCAUCACGGAUGAUAUCCAAGCUCUUCUUUAAGACUGAGAGCACAGCAAGGAGCAGAACCCAGGUUCACGUGCGUUGAAACAAUGCCAGGAGCACAUAAAUCUCUCGGAAACCAGCAUAAAAUAAUGCAUUAUAGAUGCCUUUAUCUCAGUCAAGUGCCUGCCACUAUAGUGGGUGAACAUGAAGCUGCACUUGCUGAGGUAACACACAGGUGAUGCACUGGCACUCCUGGGUUAAUGAGAAUUGUUGCCAGGUGUUUCCCGUUAGGUGUUUUCCAUUAGGUUUCCAUUAGUGGAGCUGCACUGAAAAGCUGGAGCCCUGAAGCUGUGCCAUCCAUAGUGAGUGUUGUCUAGUGAGUGUCCUGAUGUCGCUGAGCUAACGCUGUGCUGUCACUAAGUCAGCUCAUUCUUGUUUAAACUCUCUUGAAAAGUGCUGGAAGUGCACAUGGGAGUACAGAGCACAUGUGGGAAAGCUUUAGGGGUGUGCAGCUUCUGAACUACACAGACGUUUCAGGUUCCCACAGCUCCUCCUGCUGUGUCUUUUCCUCUCUGGCAAGAGGAAAACCCACUUGGCUUUCCCGUGCAGGGCUGCCUGAGGCUGUGAACUGCAAUUCCCAGAGCAUCCUCGGGCUCCUGGUUGUCACAGGAUGAGUGGCAGCUUCAGGCAAGCCCUGCCUUAGCCUCAGAUUUUUGUCAGCACUUAAAAUUUAAGAACUCGCUCUGGCCCACAAGUUCUAAGGACGGCAGAUCAGCUCUGUUCACAAAAUGAAUUAUUUAUUAAGCAGACAGGAGAUAACAGACAAAAUUUGUCAAAUGAGCCGUUUUACUUGUGUUGUUAUCAGUCUGUGUAGAUCAGGAUGUUCCCCACUCCUUGAGUCUCAAAAUCACAGGAAAGAUGAGAGGAAAAUCGGGAUCAAAGGAAAGUUCUCGGAGUUAAUUUUUCAGCUGCAGUGACUGGAGGAGUACAACAGAUGGGCCAGGGACUCCCUUCACUUCCAUUCAAGCUUCUCAGUCCAGGGUUCUCCUUCAGUGAAUUUCAGCAUUUCACAUUUCCUGGCUCAACCUGUCAAUUAUUAGACAAUUCUACAAACUACCCCAAAAAUAUACAUGUGCUAAUUAAUAGUCUGGUUGCCUCAAAGGUGUGAUGUAACUCAAAGUGUUCCUACCUUCUCCAGUCAGGAAUUGUGCGCCUUACCCUGAGGAGGUAGGAGGAGGUGAACAAAACUGCUUCCAUAACCACAGGGAAAUCCGGGUUUCAUUCAGGGAGAAAUCCGCGGGGACAAGCAGGGUGAAGACACGAGCAUUCCGAGGCAACACUGUCAGGUCAGUCAACCCCUUUCAGAAAACACACAAAUAUCAAUCAGCGGGAAACACACAAGUAGCAACCAGCGGUUCUGGCCCUUAGCUGCGAGCAGCGCGCUGCGGUCGCGGCCGCCACACGGGGGCACCGGAGGAGCGGUUUGCGAAACCUGGGCUCCUUUCAGAGCCCCAAAACCAUCUCUGCCAACCGGACCGGGCUUGGUGCUUCUGGCGUGGACAGGCGGCGCCAGCUCUGGGUGGUUUUGUUCCACUCUCAGCUGGCGCUGGGGACACCGUGUGAGAAUGCCGUGUGACGGUGUCAAUGCUGGUGAAUGCCCAAGUUCACGGUUUAGCUCCCCUGAUGCCGUGCUGGGUGUGGCUUUGGGUCAUGCCUGGCCACAGGACCCUGUGGCAGUGGGCAAGUCGGCAGGCUUGGCUGCUCUGCUGUCCCAGCCCUGUCGUUUUUGGUCACUGCUUGUUUCUGCAGAGAGGAAAAGCAUCCCUGCUUGGCCGCCGUUUCCCUGCAAGCAGCAGAGCCCAGGCCCGAGGCUGCUCGGCGUUGGUGUGACCCACUGUUGGUGUCACCUGCCCUGGGCACAGUCACCACAGCUGCCCAGAGCCAGGAGAUGCAGCUGAGGGAUCCAGGAGGAUGCAGCUCUUGUUUUCAAGGAGGACAGGAAAAAUCAUUUAAUUUGACCCAGCUAUGCCAAAACCUUUGGGUUUGGGUGGGAUUGAGCUGCCAAACCGUGGAGAUUCCAGCCCUGAUGGCCUGCUCUGGAGGACACCUGGUCCUGCACGUGCUGUGGGGUCUCUCUCAUUUCUCAGUGGUCAUCCAAGUUUCAUGUGCAAUCGCUGCUCCCCUGUGAGAAGUCCCCAGGAUGGAGCCAUUGAAUGCUGUGAGGGGAUGGGGGCCCCAAAGAUGCAAUUCUGGGAACAUCCUGGCAGCCCUGGGGGGUCCCUCGGGGGAAAUAAGGGUGGCACUGGCAUUAGCAGAGGUUUCAGACGUGACAAUAAAACAAACCUUGGACAUCC